UAGGAUCGUUCACUGGGAAGGGUUUUCGCAAACACAAGUGAUAUUCAAAUUAGGAAAAUAGGUGAUUUUCUUAUGGAUGUUAGCUUUAAAAGAAGAUGUAAAUAUUUCAGAAAGAUUUAAACUAAUCUAAGCUAACAUUAAAGACUAAAAUGAAAGGGUGUAAAAACAAGUUUCUCAAAGAUAGGAUAGCUAUGCUCUGGCUCUUAUGCAAAUUGGAAAUCUCAGGAUAGGCUCCUCGCGUUGGGGUUGCAACUAUGGUGAUGCUUGCUUCCCGAACCGGUAUGGAUUUAGCAAAUCAAGUUUUAAUCCUUUAAAAUGGCAAAACAGAUGGUAGUGAAUUUCAUCAAUGGUUAUUCACCUUAGACUUCCUUUGAGUGGCUCGUAA
This 385-nucleotide long non-coding RNA is filed under the name Vitis vinifera (wine grape). RNAcentral's name for it is "long non-coding RNA (VVIN_LNC004615)". The record is from RNAcentral. Lineage: Eukaryota; Viridiplantae; Streptophyta; Magnoliopsida; Vitales; Vitaceae.